Molecule: ribosomal RNA, 254 nt
Filed under: uncultured bacterium
Lineage: Bacteria
Description: partial 16S ribosomal RNA
Rfam family: Bacterial small subunit ribosomal RNA
Source: RNAcentral
UACGUAGGGUGCAGGCGUUAAUCGGAAUUAUUGGGCGUAAAGAGCUCGUAGGCGGUCUGUCACGUCUGCCGUGAAAACCCGAGGCUUAACCUCGUGGCUUGCGGUGGAUACGGGCAGACUAGAGGUAGGUAGGGGAGAAUGGAAUUCCCGGUGUAGCGGUGAAAUGCGCAGAUAUCGGGAGGAACACCGGUGGCGAAGGCGGUUCUCUGGGCCUUACCUGACGCUGAGGAGCGAAAGCGUGGGGAGCGAACAGG